Molecule: regulatory RNA element, 141 nt
Organism: Ruminococcus sp. CAG:108
Lineage: Bacteria; Bacillati; Bacillota; Clostridia; Eubacteriales; Oscillospiraceae
Rfam family: Ribosomal protein L10 leader
About the family: This family is a putative r-protein leader autoregulatory structure found in B. subtilis and other low-GC Gram-positive bacteria. It is located in the 5' untranslated regions of mRNAs encoding ribosomal proteins L10 and L12 (rplJ-rplL).
Source: Rfam
UAUAUAAAAUUCGCUGUUCUAAAGACAGCAGGUGCGUAAGCGUAAAGGUUUUUCCUGCCUGCCGAGGAAGAUGCAAAUUACAUUGUUUUGUGUUUUUGCAGCCGUCCGAGGUAAAACGGACGGCUGUUUUUUAUGAACUGC